UGUUCCUCCGGGAAAAGGAAUCCACCAUGGAUAAGCGGAUAUUAAUCCUGGUUCUUUUAGUGUCCUCGCUGUGCAUUGUGGCUGAUGCCCAUGUGAAGAGGUCUCCGGUCGCCGGAAGAAGUGGCCCAAGCCGUCCGCCAGGGAGUAAAGG
Penaeus indicus is the source of this 151-nucleotide long non-coding RNA. RefSeq lists it as uncharacterized. The transcript has 3 exons. Lineage: Eukaryota; Metazoa; Arthropoda; Malacostraca; Decapoda; Penaeidae. The record is from RefSeq and is a predicted model, not a curated record.